Molecule: long non-coding RNA, 1170 nt
Organism: Condylura cristata (star-nosed mole)
Lineage: Eukaryota; Metazoa; Chordata; Mammalia; Eulipotyphla; Talpidae
Exons: 2
Source: RefSeq, a predicted model, not a curated record
CAGAGCCAAAGCCCGCCGGCACCGCGGCGCGGGGAGGCCCGAGGCCAGGGACGACGAGGACCCGGUCAUGGGCUCCGUGGUCUGGGCCGCACCUGCCCCCGGGGAGCCGCAGGACAUCCACUACGCCUCCCUCAGCUUCCACGGGGCGAAGGCUCGGGAGCCGCAGGAGCCGGAGGCCGCCACCGUGUACUCAGAGAUCAGGACCAGCGCGUGAGGCGCGGAGCCGCCUGCCCGGGCAUCGUGGUGUCUUGGGGUGACAAGAAGCACUCGGGGUGACGACAAGGCACAAGGGGCCGCGGGCCGUGUUAACAGGGACACGGCUGAGCGGGCCGGGGCAGAGCGCGGUGACCCAGCAUUCGCCUAGUCUCUGCCUCAGUUUCCCGCCCUGUAACUCAGAGAUCGCCUCCCACCGCAGACCGUCAGAGAAACGCAGGGGGACAUCAACCAGCUGACGUGGCUCGGAGGUCCGGGCUGGAGGCGGGGCCGGCGCGAGGAGGGAGCUGUCUCCACUGGGGCCCCCAGCCGCUCCCUCUGUCACGAGCCCCCCCCUUCCUUAGGCAGGGCGCCCCGCUCUCCGCCAGCAGCUUCCCCCCCCAGCCGCGGGUGCUGCCCCCUGCCGGCCGCCACCCGCCAGCGUCUGCGCUCCCUCCUCCCACGCCGCCUGCUCCCGGGCUCACCCCAGUUCUCCUUCAAAUCUCCCUUCUUGGGUAGAUCUGGGGGGGUGCAACCAGAAAAAAAGCUUUACUCUCCCUCCUCUAACGGUACACUCGGACAAUUUUUAGCUGAUUUUGAAAAGCAAGCGGUCGCUGAAGCACAGGCACAAACUCGCCCGCAGCGGCCCAGGAGCCUGGCAUGGAGCCGGGGUUGCCAGCUGCCCCGAGGCUCCUGCUCCGGGGUGCAGGGCGGGGCUCACAGCCGGAUAGGGCGGGCGCUGGCGCCGGAGGUCGCUCACCCCCAGCCCCAGGACCGAGCUACCUGCUGUUCCUGACUCCGCAUUUCCCUUCCGAGCCCGAAUUCUGCUCUGUGACGCCCUGAUGAAAAGUGGGCCCACGAGACCCCGGGCCUCCACCCGCGACGUCCCAAGAAGGCAGAACCCCAGCCCUUCGCUCUGUCCCUCUGCCUCGUGUGACAACGGUGUGUGGCCAUACAGUAAUAAACCUGGUUUCCUCA